AGGGCCUUAGCUCAGUUGGUAGAGCGCUUGUUUUACACGCAAGAUGUCAACGGUUCGAGUCCGUUAGGCCCUA
RNAcentral lists this transfer RNA (73 nucleotides) under Oltmannsiellopsis viridis. Its description in RNAcentral is "tRNA-Val". It matches the Rfam family "tRNA". From Rfam's summary of the family: Transfer RNA (tRNA) molecules are approximately 80 nucleotides in length. Their secondary structure includes four short double-helical elements and three loops (D, anti-codon, and T loops). Lineage: Eukaryota; Viridiplantae; Chlorophyta; Ulvophyceae; Oltmannsiellopsidales; Oltmannsiellopsidaceae. The record is from RNAcentral.